ACGGUAAGGCCCCUUCGGGGGUACACGAGUGGCGAACGGGUGAGUAACACGUGGGUAAUCUGCCCUGCACUUCGGGAUAAGCCUGGGAAACUGGGUCUAAUACCGGAUAUGAACUCCUGCCGCAUGGUGGGGGUUGGAAAGUUUUUCGGUGCAGGAUGAGCCCGCGGCCUAUCAGCUUGUUGGUGGGGUAAUGGCCUACCAAGGCGACGACGGGUAGCCGGCCUGAGAGGGUGAUCGGCCACACUGGGACUGAGACACGGCCCAGACUCCUACGGGAGGCAGCAGUGGGGAAUAUUGCACAAUGGGCGAAAGCCUGAUGCAGCGACGCCGCGUGGGGGAUGACGGUCUUCGGAUUGUAAACCCCUUUCAGUAGGGACGAAGCGCAAGUGACGGUACCUGCAGAAGAAGCACCGGCUAACUACGUGCCAGCAGCCGCGGUAAUACGUAGGGUGCGAGCGUUGUCCGGAAUUACUGGGCGUAAAGAGCUCGUAGGCGGUUUGUCACGUCGUCUGUGAAAUCCCUCGGCUUAACCGGGGGCGUGCAGGCGAUACGGGCAGACUUGAGUACUACAGGGGAGACUGGAAUUCCUGGUGUAGCGGUGAAAUGCGCAGAUAUCAGGAGGAACACCGGUGGCGAAGGCGGGUCUCUGGGUAGUAACUUACGCUGAG
This 668-nucleotide ribosomal RNA is filed under the name Dietzia sp. E241. Its description in RNAcentral is "bacterial SSU rRNA". It matches the Rfam family "Bacterial small subunit ribosomal RNA", at positions 66 to 750 of the family's 1533-position model. Lineage: Bacteria; Bacillati; Actinomycetota; Actinomycetes; Mycobacteriales; Dietziaceae. The record is from RNAcentral.